UGUGCAUCGCCGCUUCACCAUGGCAACAGGUCCUCUCACACAUCAGAGUCAAGACAAGCGGAUUGCAGCCUAAAUAUGAGCAAGCAAAUAUGAGACAUGGGAAUUAGGAGUCGGGCCCCUGUGCCCUCACACAACCAGAGGAGACAGCAUCCAAACCAGAGCAGAUGAGACGCAGACAUGCACAGAGCAGAGAGUCCCUGCGCUGCUGCGCUGCUCCUGAAACAAGAAGUGAGACAGAGAGGGAGUUAUCAUCUCAGGACACUUCAGAUUUAUUUUGGGUCUAAUCUCGAGGUUGGAAACUGGACUGGACAAACAACCUGUGUAUACAAG
This is a non-coding RNA of Paralichthys olivaceus (Japanese flounder), 330 nucleotides long. The record is from RefSeq and is a predicted model, not a curated record. NCBI's taxonomy places the organism in Eukaryota, Metazoa, Chordata, Actinopteri, Pleuronectiformes, Paralichthyidae.